Molecule: unclassified non-coding RNA, 179 nt
Filed under: uncultured fungus
Lineage: Eukaryota; Fungi
Description: sequence contains ITS1
Source: RNAcentral
GUAUUAUAAUUUGUUAAUUUUUUAAUUACAGUCAAGUUGUUCAGGCAUGAGUUAGAUUAAAGAAGACUCUGGCAAAGACGGAAAAUCUUUUGCCAAAGCAUAUUUCAAUGCGUGCACAUGGUGGAUGAUCAGGCUAUAAAAACCUUGUAAUGAUCCUUCCGCAGGUUCACCUACGGAAA